This is an RNA transcript of Nothobranchius furzeri (turquoise killifish), 2075 nucleotides long. It is a transcript of the gene named N-terminal Xaa-Pro-Lys N-methyltransferase, with no coding region annotated. The record is from RefSeq and is a predicted model, not a curated record. Lineage: Eukaryota; Metazoa; Chordata; Actinopteri; Cyprinodontiformes; Nothobranchiidae.
CGGAGGGUUGCAGCUCCAAGUCUUACGACUUCCCCCAGAGUCCCAGCGGGUGACCUGUAACUCUGGCAGGUCAUCCUGAGUGCCGCUCGCUCUGAUUGCUGAGCGCUGGCGGAGUCGUGUCGCCUCUCAGCUCGACAGAUUUAGCAGCAGCUGGAGAAACAGAAUCCCAAACGGGAGCUGGAGGGCUGAGAGUCUCCGUCUAAACGCUCCUGGACUUUAGCUCAGCAUGGAGAUCACACUUGAAGACGAGAACCAUGGCCCAUCUCCAAAUGUUGAGUACAAAGGAGCUCACCAGGCCUUCAGGGACCGCUGGAAGCAGACGGACGACACCAUGUGUCGCCACAGCAUGUCCUUCCACCUGCACCACACGCUCAGGAGCGAGUUCUUCACCAGUUACCUGUAUCUGCUGGAGAAGAUACCUCUGGUGAAGCUGUUCCCAGUCACCUGUGAGUACAUCAAAGGUGAGAAGCAGUUCUACUACCGAGCCCAGCAGUUCUACGAGGACGUCCCGGCGUCGGAGGAGGGCAUGAUGGGAGAUUUUGUUGAGAUAUCCAAAGUUGACCUGGAAGGUUCUCGUCAGUUCCUGAAGAGGUUUGUGGGCCCGGGAAAGGCAGGAACACACCGGGUUCUGGACUGUGGUUCAGGAAUCGGACGUGUGACCAAAGGCGUCUUUCUUCCUGUGUUUGAGAAGCUCGAGAUGGCGGACAUGAUGGAGCAUUUCCUGCUCCAUGCACACGAGGAGUAUCUAGGUGCUGACGCCGAUCGGGUGGAGACGUACUACUGCUUCAACCUGCAGGAGUUCACGCCUCCCAAGAACAAGUAUGAUGUCAUCUGGAUGCAGUGGGUGGCCUGCCACCUAACAGACAAAGACCUGAUGAACUUUCUGAUUCGCUGCAAGAAGAGCCUCCGUCCAAACGGCGUCAUCAUCAUCAAGGACAAUAUGGCACGGCAGGGCUGCAAGCUGGACCCCAUCGACAGCAGCAUCAGUCGCCACCUGGACAUCAUGAAGGUCAUCAUCAACAAGGCUGGUCUGGAGGUCCUGGCUGUGGAGAAGCAAGAGGGCUUCCCUGAUGUCAUCAUGCCAGUCUGGAUGAUUGCCAUGCAGUAGAAACGCUGCUUGCUGGCUCCGGAGAAUCCGGCCUGAAGCUGAAUUAUUCCGAGUCCUGAUUUGAGUUGUAUCUUUGGAAAGCCAGGAGGCGUCAGGAGAUAAACCCUGAAGCAGAAGUGUGGAAAACAUGACGACACCAGGCGGCUUCAUGCACAGAGGAAGGUUUCUUCUCUUCCAGUUUUGGUUCUUUUUUAAACACAGCUGCUGCCCGCUCUCCCCUCUCCGAUGAUGCAGUCCCAUGUGAAGAUGUUUGCAGCCGCAAACGAAACGUCAGCAAGAUCUCUGUCUGCUCGUACAGUCGGGAAUCCUGGCAGAGAGACGCUGGAGUCGGGGAUAUGGUCCUGCAGCCACGUCUCAGUGACACACAUAACACUGCACUGCCGAAACUCUGGCUGAGUCCUUGAAAGGGCUUGAAGUUCAUCCAUUGCUGGCCAGCGAUCUCACAUUGCCCAUUAUGAUCGAUGGAAAAGAUGGUGUGGCAGGGAGGCUGCACCAGGUGCCAUCAAUCAUAAGCAAUUAAGGUGGAGCACUUAAAAGCAGGCGGGAGGAGAGACGCAGACGCCAGAUGAUUAAGCCACGCAGCGUGACAAUCAGGUCAGCGCUGUGCUUCCCAGUGUUCUCCUCACCUGUGAUGUUUUGUCUCACAGCCGGCCUAUCCUUCUGAGUUCCCAGACCUAAGGAUCUCCCAACGUCUUCCCUGAACCGCGGUGUCUGCUUCACCCUGGCUGCAGCGCUUCAGCUCUGUCUUCUAUGCCCUGUUGGAUCCUCCUCUUCUCCGCCUGCCUGUCCACCCUCGAGCCUCCAGCGCUCCUAGGAGAUCUCAGCCAUGGCCUGCCACACUCCCACACUGGACCUCACCUCCCCUCCAAACGCUCCUCACCACGCAGACCAAGCCGCCUCUGCGAACCCGUCCAGAGUUCCUCCACAUCGAGAACCUGCUGGACUUUUAAUAAAACUGUUAACCUUU